AUUAUUUUAAAACCUAAUUUCAAUAUUUUACAUUCCUUUUGUCAAUACAAUUUGACUAUCUAUUUCAUCAUAACUAGGAUUUAACCUGCGGUUUAUUUGGUUCUUAUACUAAAUAUUUA
RNAcentral lists this small RNA (119 nucleotides) under Arabidopsis thaliana (thale cress). RNAcentral's name for it is "ATSL208280". The record is from RNAcentral. Lineage: Eukaryota; Viridiplantae; Streptophyta; Magnoliopsida; Brassicales; Brassicaceae.